Long non-coding RNA from Engraulis encrasicolus (European anchovy), 2795 nucleotides. RefSeq lists it as uncharacterized. The record is from RefSeq and is a predicted model, not a curated record. The transcript is spliced from 4 exons. NCBI's taxonomy places the organism in Eukaryota, Metazoa, Chordata, Actinopteri, Clupeiformes, Engraulidae.
UUGAAUUUCGCCUAGUCAAAAUGUCAGUUCAAGAUAUCUUCAAAUCCUUCUAAUUCAAGAUAUCUAUAUCUUCCUUUUUGGAUAUCCUUAAUUGAGUUUUGACUAGGCGAAAUUCAAUUGCAGAUAUCUGUAACUGGAGUUACGACUAGUCAAAAUGACGUUUUAGAUAUCUCAUACUGGAGUUAUGGAUAGGCGAAAUGUAAUUGUAGAUAUCCACUAUCCAAUUAUAGAUAUCUGGAAAUGAUUUUUGAUUAGAGAUAUCUCAAAUUGGAGAUAUCUGUAAUGUUCAUUCUGCCUAGUCGAAAUGUAAUUAAAGAUAUCUAGAAUAACAGUUUUGACUAGGCGAAAUGACGUUACAGAUAUCUGUAUGCAAAUGACCCAUGCACGCACCACCAACCCCCCUCCCCUUCCCCCACCCCUCACAUUUGGCGGGAGCACACAAACACACACACACACACCGCCAUUUUAGUGAUUAGUUGCACCUGUGAAAUGGACAACGAGCGUCAAGAAACCGUUUUCAAUCGUCUUUUCAACAUAGCUACUCGUGCAAGAGCAGAGUUGGCAAGCUCCAGUGCAGAUCAUGCCUAAAGUUACUUCAACGCGACGACCGACUGUUUCAUCGAGUACAGGUUAGGCGACGAGGACAUGAUGAGGACAAGCACUGUCAAGUCCUCUUCAGCUCCAAUGAUUAUAGCCAGUGCCCAAGGCUCCACGUCUCUAUGCACCAUUCAUCUCAACACUAACCAAAUGGUGGCUUUGUAACAGUGAUUGUGGGAGGAUGCUGUGCAGGUGUCAACAUGAAUGUGCCGGAGGACUAGAGUAUGCUGGCGUCGACACCCCACCUCCUCCCCUUCAGACUCCAUCGAGGGUUGGUCCCUGUCCUGUGAGGAGAGGAUGCAAUGGGUCUCUGCUUCAGCCGUGGCACCUUCUCUACAACCCUCGCCACUGUCACCAGUUUGUCCCCAUCCUGUGAAGGGGGGUAGGCUUUAGCCCCCUGCCUCAUCAAUCGGCAGGAUAAGCGCCCUCUUCUUUGAAACAGGACAUGUUUUAUUGAUGCUCUACAUGAGUAUUAUAUACAUGUAUAUAUACAGUGCCAUGUGUAUGUUUUUACCUCCCCUACUGAUUUUGUUUACUUUUUUGCACAUUUGGCACACUUAACAUUUUCAGAUAACCACACUAAUAUAAACAUUACCCAUGACCCAAGUAAGCAUAAAAUGCAGUUUCUCAGUGAUUAAUUUAUAUUUUCUCAGAAGCUUUGUAUGCAUUGUCAAUGUUUUUUUUUUUUUUUUUUUUGUAGCAAAUGUGAGACAAGUCUUGAUACUCUCCUUGUCAGAGGUGACUUUGGCCGUUGAACUCUGACAUGCUUGCAAUGUUUACCUAGUCUCUUUCUUAUUGUUGAGUCAUGAACACUUCCAUUUCAUGCGGUAAUUAACACCUCCCAUUGGUAAGAUAUUGUUCUGUGUUCCUUUCUAAACUCUUGGAUCCACAGUCACUGUCUUCUUGGGGUAAUUUUAGUGUGACAGCCAAAAUGUUCACCAUUACAUCAUGUAUUCUCCAUUUAUGGAUAAUGGCUCUCACCAUGGUUUGCAGAUGACCCAAUGAUUUAGAAAUAACUGAAGAACCUUUUACAGUCUGAGACAUGUAAAUUAUUUUUAUUACAACCUGCUCCCGAAUGUCGAUGAUUCACAGUGUGAUGUCAUGGGUUCGAUAUGAAUUAUCUCUUGGUUUGAAAGGCCAGGUAGUAGUCAGACUUGGGCAGCUGUGAAAUAUAACUCUGCUAUCCAAAAUGAUUUAGAUUAAUCACAGAUACCUUCUCAUUUAACAAUUUACUUUUUCACACAGGCUCAUGCAGGUUUUAUGGCAUUUUUCUAACAAAUGAAAUAACCACUGGAACACUGCAUUUCACGUUUGCUUGGGUCAUUCUUGUUUAAUGUUUACUGUGUUCAGUGAUCUAUACACAACAAAAUUGCAUUUUAUGUCUCACCCGUGCAAGGGGGCAGCCCCCAAUGGCGGCCCAAGGGAGCAGUGCGUCGGGAUGGUACCAUGCUCAGGGUACCUCAGUCACAGAGGAGGAUGGGGGAGAGCACUGUUAAUUAGCCCCCCACAAACCUGGCAGGUUGGGAGUCAUACCGGCAGCCUUUGGGCUACAAGUCUGACGCCCUCACCGCUUACCCAUGACUGCCCAUAAAUAUAUUGACUGCAAGCUUAACUUUGCAGAUAAUGUUGAUGCUGUAUGCGAAAAGGCCAAUCAAAAGUUGUUCUUAACCGAGAAGCUGAACGGCUUUGGAGUAAACUGCAACAUCUUGGAGAGGACAUAUGUAAGCCUAAUAGAGAGUGGCCUUACCUAUAACAGUUCUGUUUGGUAUGGCCACCUCACCUUACUUAAGAACAGGCUGUCCAGAGUGGUAGGAAAGGAAAUAUUAUAUGAGGAACUCACAAGCCACUGGGCAGUCUAUACAGGAUACAGUUGACAGGAAAAGACUGAGCAUUUUAGAUGAUUCUACCCAUCCUCUUCCCUCUAAAUUUGAACUGCUGCCAUCAGGUAGGCACAUCAUUGCAAGGAGAAAGAUCUAUAAACAUUAUUUUAUACCAUGGUAAACAAGCAAUGGGAAAGCUAGAGGUGUAGGGUCUGGAACUACUGACUGAUUUGUAUUUGUGUGCUGGGAGGGGGUUGGAUGCAGCGAUUUGUUCGCCUGUUUUUGUCUAUUUGUGUUUGUAUUCAGUGAGACCAAAGGCAAUGUUCAUGCUGGUAUGACAAAGUAUUUUCUAUUCCAUAAUAAAACGUUGUUAUGCCA